CGGAGGAUCCAAGCGUUUAGUCCGGAAUCAGUUGGGUUUAAAGGGUCCGUAGGCGGUUUUAUAAGUCAGUGGUGAAAUCUGGUCGCUCAACGAUCAAACGGCCAUUGAUACUGUAAGACUUGAAUUACUUGGAAGUAACUAGAAUAUGUAGUGUAGCGGUGAAAUGCUUAGAGAUUACAUGGAAUACCAAUUGCGAAGGCAGGUUACUACAAGUAUAUUGACGCUGAUGGACGAAAGCGUGGGGAGCGAACAGGAUUAGAUACCCUGGUAGUCCACGCCGUAAACGAUGGAUACUAGCUGUUUGGAGCAAUCUGAGUGGCUAAGCGAAAGUGAUAAGUAUCCCACCUGGGGAGUACGCUCGCAAGAGUG
RNAcentral lists this ribosomal RNA (369 nucleotides) under uncultured organism. Its description in RNAcentral is "bacterial SSU rRNA". It matches the Rfam family "Bacterial small subunit ribosomal RNA", at positions 526 to 896 of the family's 1533-position model. The record is from RNAcentral.